CCUACGGGGGGCUGCAGUGGGGAAUAUUGGACAAUGGGGGCAACCCUGAUCCAGCCAUGCCGCGUGUGUGAAGAAGGCCCUCGGGUUGUAAAGCACUUCCAGUGAGGAAGAACGCCUGGUGGUUAAUACCCAUCAGGAAAGACAUCACUCACAGAAGAAGCACCGGCUAACUCCGUGCCAGCAGCCGCGGUAAUACGGAGGGUGCGAGCGUUAAUCGGAAUUACUGGGCGUAAAGCGCGCGUAGGUGGCUUGAUAAGCCGGUUGUGAAAGCCCCGGGCUCAACCUGGGAACGGCAUCCGGAACUGUCAAGCUAGAGUGCAGGAGAGGAAGGUAGAAUUCCCGGUGUAGCGGUGAAAUGCGUAGAGAUCGGGAGGAAUACCAGUGGCGAAGGCGGCCUUCUGGACUGACACUGACACUGAGGUGCGAAAGCGUGGGUAGCAAACAGGAUUAGAUACCCUUGUAGUC
RNAcentral lists this ribosomal RNA (465 nucleotides) under Vreelandella stevensii. RNAcentral describes it as "partial 16S ribosomal RNA". It matches the Rfam family "Bacterial small subunit ribosomal RNA", at positions 338 to 795 of the family's 1533-position model. The record is from RNAcentral. Lineage: Bacteria; Pseudomonadati; Pseudomonadota; Gammaproteobacteria; Oceanospirillales; Halomonadaceae.